GACGAACGCUGGCGGCGUGCCUAAUACAUGCAAGUUGAGCGCUGAAGGUUGGUACUUGUCCCAACUGGAUGAGCAGCGAACGGGUGAGUAACGCGUGGGGAAUCUGCCUUUGAGCGGGGGACAACAUUUGGAAACGAAUGCUAAUACCGCAUAAAAACUUUAAACACAAGUUUUAAGUUUGAAAGAUGCAAUUGCAUCACUCAAAGAUGAUCCCGCGUUGUAUUAGCUAGUUGGUGAGGUAAAGGCUCACCAAGGCGAUGAUACAUAGCCGACCUGAGAGGGUGACCGGCCACAUUGGGACUGAGACACGGCCCAAACUCCUACGGGAGGCAGCAGUAGGGAAUCUUCGGAAAUGGACGAAAGUCUGACCGAGCAACGCCGCGUGAGUGAAGAAGGUUUUCGGAUCGUAAAACUCUGUUGGUAGAGAAGAACGUUGGUGAGAGUGGAAAGCUCAUCAAGUGACGGUAACUACCCAGAAAGGGACGGCUAACUACGUG
This 497-nucleotide ribosomal RNA is filed under the name uncultured bacterium. Its description in RNAcentral is "partial 16S ribosomal RNA". It matches the Rfam family "Bacterial small subunit ribosomal RNA", at positions 28 to 507 of the family's 1533-position model. The record is from RNAcentral.